AGUCCUUGGGAGGAACGUUUUCCCCCUUUUCUGGUUUACAACACCAGGGUAAUGUGCGAAGCGAGCCACCCUG
Molecule: transfer RNA, 73 nt
Filed under: Equus caballus (horse)
Lineage: Eukaryota; Metazoa; Chordata; Mammalia; Perissodactyla; Equidae
Description: partial transfer RNA-Thr
Source: RNAcentral